Molecule: ribosomal RNA, 1643 nt
Filed under: Listeria monocytogenes
Lineage: Bacteria; Bacillati; Bacillota; Bacilli; Caryophanales; Listeriaceae
Description: partial 23S ribosomal RNA
Rfam family: Bacterial large subunit ribosomal RNA
Source: RNAcentral
UAAAUACUCCCUAGUGACCGAUAGUGAACCAGUACCGUGAGGGAAAGGUGAAAAGCACCCCGGAAGGGGAGUGAAACAGUUCCUGAAACCGUGUGCCUACAAGUAGUUAGAGCCCGUUAAUGGGUGAUAGCGUGCCUUUUGUAGAAUGAACCGGCGAGUUACGAUUUGUUGCAAGGUUAAGCGGAAAAAGCGGAGCCGUAGCGAAAGCGAGUCUGAAUAGGGCGCAUAAGUAACAGGUCGUAGACCCGAAACCAGGUGAUCUACCCAUGUCCAGGAUGAAGGUAAGGUAAUACUUACUGGAGGUCCGAACCCACGCACGUUGAAAAGUGCGGGGAUGAGGUGUGGGUAGCGGAGAAAUUCCAAUCGAACUUGGAGAUAGCUGGUUCUCUCCGAAAUAGCUUUAGGGCUAGCCUCGAGGUAAAGAGUCAUGGAGGUAGAGCACUGUUUGGACUAGGGGCCCUUCUCGGGUUACCGAAUUCAGAUAAACUCCGAAUGCCAUGUACUUAUACUCGGGAGUCAGACUGCGAGUGAUAAGAUCCGUAGUCGAAAGGGAAACAGCCCAGACCACCAGUUAAGGUCCCCAAAUAUAUGUUAAGUGGAAAAGGAUGUGGGGUUGCUUAGACAACCAGGAUGUUGGCUUAGAAGCAGCCACCAUUGAAAGAGUGCGUAAUAGCUCACUGGUCGAGUGACCCCGCGCCGAAAAUGUACCGGGGCUAAACAUAUUACCGAAACUGUGGAUGAACCUCUUUAGAGGUUCGUGGUAGGAGAGCGUUCUAAGGGCGGUGAAGUCAGACCGGAAGGACUGGUGGAGCGCUUAGAAGUGAGAAUGCCGGUAUGAGUAGCGAAAGAAGGGUGAGAAUCCCUUCCACCGAAUAUCUAAGGUUUCCUGAGGAAGGCUCGUCCGCUCAGGGUUAGUCGGGACCUAAGCUGAGGCCGAUAGGCGUAGGCGAUGGACAACAGGUAGAGAUUCCUGUACCAGUGCUAAUUGUUUAACCGAUGGGGUGACACAGAAGGAUAGGGAAUCGCACGAAUGGAAAUGUGCGUCCAAGCAGUGAGUGUGAGAAGUAGGCAAAUCCGCUUCUCGCGAAGCAUGAGCUGUGAUGGGGAAGGAAAUUAAGUACGGAAGUUCCUGAUUUCACGCUGUCAAGAAAAGCCUCUAGGAAGAGUAGUACUGCCCGUACCGCAAACCGACACAGGUAGAUGAGGAGAGAAUCCUAAGGUGAGCGAGAGAACUCUCGUUAAGGAACUCGGCAAAAUGACCCCGUAACUUCGGGAGAAGGGGUGCUCUAUUAGGGUGCAAGCCCGAGAGAGCCGCAGUGAAUAGGCCCAGGCGACUGUUUAGCAAAAACACAGGUCUCUGCAAAACCGUAAGGUGACGUAUAGGGGCUGACGCCUGCCCGGUGCUGGAAGGUUAAGAGGAGUGCUUAGCUUCGGCGAAGGUACGAAUUGAAGCCCCAGUAAACGGCGGCCGUAACUAUAACGGUCCUAAGGUAGCGAAAUUCCUUGUCGGGUAAGUUCCGACCCGCACGAAAGGCGCAACGAUCUGGGCACUGUCUCAACGAGAGACUCGGUGAAAUUAUAGUACCUGUGAAGAUGCAGGUUACCCGCGACAGGACGGAAAGACCCCGUGGAGCUUUACUGCA